Molecule: long non-coding RNA, 507 nt
Organism: Gadus macrocephalus (Pacific cod)
Lineage: Eukaryota; Metazoa; Chordata; Actinopteri; Gadiformes; Gadidae
Exons: 3
Source: RefSeq, a predicted model, not a curated record
UGUCCUCCCAGAUCAGGUUCCUUGUUGAGGAGCAGAAUUAGCCCCUGGAAUCUGGUGCACUUGUUACCUUCUGGUCUGGGAGGAGGCGGAGAGCAGCGAGCCAGAAAGAACAUAGGACACUACACAGCCUGCAGCAGCCAACCAACUAGCCGGUCGACCGGUCAGUCAGGCCACAGUUUCUCUUCAUGGUCACGGGAUCGCAGAGGAUCGUAUUCAGCGCAGCAAACAUAUUUCAAAGUGUGACGACACCGUUAUAGUUCUUUUUGGAGGGCGCUGGUCGGCACGGUAACCCGCAGAAGGUCGUGGUCUUCAAUGUGGAGCUCAGCCCGUUUGAGGUGAUUGGCCAUGCCGCCUGUCAGUCUAAAGACCCCGUCUACCUGGUGGGCUCAGAGCUUGAUGAUUGGCUGAGCCGCCUGUCAGUCUAAAGACCCCGUCUACCUGGUGGGCUCAGAGCUUGAUGAUUGGCUGAGCCGCCUGUCAGUCUAGGACCCCGUCUACCUGGUGGGC